GGCCUGUGACGUAGAUGCAAGAGGUGGAAGCAACUCUGCCAGUGACAGCGUGGUAUCCAUGCUCAUAAACUGCACCAAUGCCUCUUGAAUAGCUGGAGUAAUGGUGGCUGUGGGCGUCUCUGGUGCCUGAUUCUUGACUGGGUCUGCUAGUGGCACCUCGGCGGCUGCUCGCGCAGGUGAUCUGGCUGCACCCUGCACACGUCCACGGCCCCUGCCCCUGACCCUACGCCUAGCUACUACAGGAGGGGGUACGGGUGCCUGAUCGACCCGGGUCAUGCGUGUUCUCACUAUAUGGGAGAGAAUAGAAGACAAAAGUUUAGAAUCGAGGUAAAAGACAUAGCACGACAAGAAUUCAAUGAAGUGAAGAUUUUUCUAAACAGUUACAUAGCCUCCCGUAGAUAAGUACAUACGUCUCCCUACCGAUCAGCAAGACUCUAAAUAACUGGCCUGUGUCUCGUAACUCUUAUGACCUAGAGCUAUGAUACCAACUUUUCACGACCCUAGUUAACCAAUCG
RNAcentral lists this long non-coding RNA (515 nucleotides) under Nicotiana benthamiana. RNAcentral's name for it is "long non-coding RNA (NBEN_LNC038161)". Lineage: Eukaryota; Viridiplantae; Streptophyta; Magnoliopsida; Solanales; Solanaceae. The record is from RNAcentral.